UAAAGAACUGUUUGGGAAUAAUUGGUUGAUAUUGUAAAUUUACAUCUGAAUACAUUAAAUAAAAGGAUUUUAGAAUCAAUCAAUUUAUUUGUAGUUAAUUUCCCACGACAUUUUGAUUGAAAAUCUUUAGAUGUAUCUGUUUUGUAUUCAGUGAUGGCUGGUGGUGAUUUUGGGUGGGUGGGCUAACAAAUGCAUUACACUCAUCAAUACGUCACACAGCAGCAACAGAAGCAUCACAGCAACAACAUUGUAUACUUUGUUAUAACAACACUAUAAUAAACUACGGCAACACUGUGGAGACAAACCCAAAAGAAAGACCCGAUGCCAUCUCUCUCUCUCUCUCUCUCUCUCUCUCUCUCUCUCCCUCUGUACAACAGCACAUGCCGAUUGCGCUACAACUACAUUAUAGAAAAGUACCAGCAAAAAUUUGCAACACCAUGUAUCAAAAAUAAAUGUACAAAACCAAAGCAAAAAUAACAGUAUUUGUAGAAGAGAGAGUUGUUUCAGAGCUUGGGCAUACCUUAUUUAAAACGCCGCUCACAUCGACACAAACAGGUUAAUCACCAUGUCAAACUCCACCCUGCUGUACCUCACCAUCAGCUCACCUUUCAGUUUCUUCCUGCAGAUCAUUGGCUAAUGUGCACAUGCAAAGACAACAAGUGCCUGGCUUUCUCAAAGCAAGCCUUUGACUUCUCAACCAUUAAGUUACAGCACUGUGCGGCCACUGACACAUUAUCAGAGCGCCGCAUCCUGCCCGGCGUUGCAGCGGCUGCAGUGGCUGUGGCUGAUCAUCUGUGGUCAGCAGUUCAGAUAUGAAGCAGGAAACAUUUUCCAGGUCCUGUCUUGUUUUGAGACAAUCUGUGGUCUUAGACGUGUACUUUGCAGCUUGUGUGUUUGACAGGUGAUCUGCUGAUUGACUGUCUAAAAAGAGAACUAGUCCCCGCUGGAGUGAGGUGGGAGAUUAAUCGGACCCCUGCAGGGCGAGCUGAUGUCCCCACAAACUGUAAUACAGUCCACAGUCCGUGAUAGUGAAUGCCUGUCUUUCUUUACCAGCUCGUUGUGUCUCUGUACAGGAUGCGGUGACUCAUUAAGCUGACAGAUGUUCACUUUACCCAGCAAUGACAGCUUUACACUAUUUCCAAUGUGGCUCGUGCUGCAUUCAUGUGUAUUUGAAUUUUGUCGGAUAAAUGUUUUAAAUCCACAAUUCCUUGUUGGGUCCAAACCGAGUCUCCUCCAAACAGCAAACAUGGGAAACAGAAAAGUGAAUUCCUAGCUACACUUGCUUUUAGCCAGUCCGUUAGCUGAAACCACGUAACGUUAACACAAAACUACGAUUUUGUCGUUUGUCCUUUUGUGUUAUUUGUACAUCGUUUGGAUGAAGUGUUCCCAAUCUCUGUACUUCCAUUUUUUCCUCCAAAGACUUGAAAAUUUAUUAGAAAGUAAAUAAUCCACCUCAUUAAUGUUCACGCUAACGCUCACGAUACUGUACUGUAGCUGCUGCGCUGUGAUUGGUCGAAGGUCACUGUACUGUAGCCGCUGCGCUGUGAUUGGUCGAAGGUCACUGUACUGUGGCUACUGCGCUGUGAUUGGUCGAAGGUCACUGUACUGUGGCUACUGCGCUGUGAUUGGUCGAAGGUCACUGUACUGUAGCUACUGCGCUGUGAUUGGUCGAAGGUCACUGUACUGUAGCUACCGCGCUGUGAUUGGUCGAAGGUCACUGUACUGUGGCUACCGCGCUGUGAUUGGUCGAAGGUCACUGUACUGUGGCUACUGCGCUGUGAUUGGUCGAAGGUCACUGUACUGUAGCUACUGCGCUGUGAUUGGUCGAAGGUCACUGUACUGUGGCUACUGCGCUGUGAUUGGUCGAAGGUCACUGUACUGUGGCUACUGCGCUGUGAUUGGUCGAAGGUCACUGUACUGUGGCUACUGCGCUGUGAUUGGUCGAAGGUCACUGUACUGUAGCUACUGCGCUGUGAUUGGUCGAAGGUCACUGUACUGUAGCUACUGCACUGUGAUUGG
This is a long non-coding RNA of Dicentrarchus labrax (European seabass), 2019 nucleotides long. RefSeq lists it as uncharacterized. NCBI's taxonomy places the organism in Eukaryota, Metazoa, Chordata, Actinopteri, Moronidae. The record is from RefSeq and is a predicted model, not a curated record. The transcript has 4 exons.